AACGCGAAGAACCUUACCAAAUCUUGACAUCCUUUGACAACUCUAGAGAUAGAGCUUUCCCCUUCGGGGGACAAAGUGACAGGUGGUGCAUGGUUGUCGUCAGCUCGUGUCGUGAGAUGUUGGGUUAAGUCCCGCAACGAGCGCAACCCUUAAGCUUAGUUGCCAUCAUUAAGUUGGGCACUCUAAGUUGACUGCCGGUGACAAACCGGAGGAAGGUGGGGAUGACGUCAAAUCAUCAUGCCCCUUAUGGUUUGGGCUACACACGUGCUACAAUGGACAAUACAAAGGGCAGCGAAACCGCGAGGUCAAGCAAAUCCCAUAAAGUUGUUCUCAGUUCGGAUUGUAGUCUGCAACUCGACUACAUGAAGCUGGAAUCGCUAGUAAUCGUAGAUCAGCAUGCUACGGUGAAUACGUUCCCGGGUCUUGUACACACGC
RNAcentral lists this ribosomal RNA (435 nucleotides) under uncultured bacterium. Its description in RNAcentral is "bacterial SSU rRNA". It matches the Rfam family "Bacterial small subunit ribosomal RNA", at positions 958 to 1393 of the family's 1533-position model. The record is from RNAcentral.